GCAGCACAUAUACUAAAAUUGGAACAAUUCAGAGAAGAUUAGCAUGGCCCCUGUUCAAGGAUGACACAUAAAUUUGUGAAGCAUUCCAUAUUUUU
Small nuclear RNA from Fukomys damarensis (Damara mole-rat), 95 nucleotides. Lineage: Eukaryota; Metazoa; Chordata; Mammalia; Rodentia; Bathyergidae. The record is from Ensembl.